AAAUGCUUGAGGGUUGUUGAUGAAAUCCAUGUUCAUUUGAUAUGCAUUUGCUGCUACAAAAACAUCGGAUCCAAUUUCGCGAUUGAGUUCAGUGAUCAUUUGUACAAGCUGUGGGUUGAACAAGCCGGCUGCUCUCUGCAAUUCAACGGAGCAUUGUCCGUUUAUGCCCCUCUGAGCUAUUUCCGACGGAACACAGCCUAAAGGUCCGGUGCCAGUCACCAAAACUCUACGUGCACCCAGCUCAUAUACCCUCUGUAAAUGAACUUCCAAAUUAGGAUCUUAAUAUUGAUAAAAAUAUAAAAUUGUAAAUAAAAGACAUAAUUUAAAGGAUUUUUUUUUUGGAACUAAUUAAUAGAGUACUUAAAUGUUACUAUAUAGCUUGUUAUUAUAAAGAAGAGAAAGAUACAUUCUGUGUUGAUCUUACUGAAGCAAAGACUUUAAUGAGAAAUUCACAAAUUAAUAUUUGAUAUGGAUGUCACGUAAAGGCCUUAAAUAUAAUAUGCAAAACUUAUCUGCCUCUUCAAAAUGAGCAUUAAUAUUUGUCCCCACUUUGCUUUUUUUUCUCGUCUAGAUAGGUCUAUCAUGGAGCUAAGUUGAGACACAAUAUGUAUGAUAAGAUCCACUUAUUAAAUAUAUGAGUCUCACAUAUUAGUGUCUUAAACCAUAAUAAAUCGAAUUUAAAUAAAAAUUCCUUGUUUUAUUUAUUUAUUUUUCUCUAGGGCAAAUAGUUUGCUACAAUAAAGUAUUCAAUGUUUCGUGCAUGAAAUAAUACAUAGUUAGAAUCAAAAGGGUGUUGAUAGCGCUUACGACUAAAAGUUUUCGGUACUCGGAGAUGACGUAGACUACAUAGUCUGGGAGGGAGAAUUGGCGAGAUCUAGCAGAGAAGGGGACCAAAUAGUAGUUGUUAACAAAGUCAUUGCCUCCCACGGUCAUAAGGACAAGUGCUUCAUUAACUAAUCUCUGAGUUUGCUCAGCUCCAAUAAGCCCAGUAACCCUUUGCUGGUAUUGUUGGAAGUAUUCCAAUUGCUUGUACAUUCUAAUGAUGUUUACAAAUUGAAUUCCUGUGUCAUUGAGAAUCCCAAUUCCAGCAGAAGCAAAGUUGGCGCCUGCAAGCAGUUUUUCUCCUUUGAGAAAUGGACUUAAGUAUGGCAUUGGGGAUUCUGUGCCAAUUGCCUCACUGAUAAGGUCGGGGAUGUUAAGGCCAUUAGAGAAACGG
RNAcentral lists this unclassified non-coding RNA (1216 nucleotides) under Hevea brasiliensis (rubber tree). Lineage: Eukaryota; Viridiplantae; Streptophyta; Magnoliopsida; Malpighiales; Euphorbiaceae. The record is from RNAcentral.